AUUGAACGCUGGCGGCAUGCCUUACACAUGCAAGUCGAACGGUAACAGGUCUUCGGAUGCUGACGAGUGGCGCACGGGUGAGUAAUACAUCGGAACGUGCCCAGACGUGGGGGAUAACGAGGCGAAAGCUUUGCUAAUACCGCAUACGAUCUAAGGAUGAAAGCAGGGGACCGCAAGGCCUGGCGCGUUUGGAGCGGCCGAUGGCAGAUUAGGUAGUUGGUGGGAUAAAAGCUUACCAAGCCGACGAUCUGUAGCUGGUCUGAGAGGACGACCAGCCACACUGGGACUGAGACACGGCCCAGACUCCUACGGGAGGCAGCAGUGGGGAAUUUUGGACAAUGGGCGAAAGCCUGAUCCAGCAAUGCCGCGUGCAGGAUGAAGGCCUUCGGGUUGUAAACUGCUUUUGUACGGAACGAAAAGGCUCUGGCUAAUACCUGGGGCACAUGACGGUACCGUAAGAAUAAGCACCGGCUAACUACGUG
Molecule: ribosomal RNA, 482 nt
Filed under: uncultured bacterium
Lineage: Bacteria
Description: partial 16S ribosomal RNA
Rfam family: Bacterial small subunit ribosomal RNA
Source: RNAcentral